AUACGUGUAGGGUGGAGAUGCACAACCGUCGGACCGUGUAGCAUUAGGCUUAUAAGACGCUUCAUCUCGUCCACAGUCGCCGGUUGAUUCCUCCUCCUGACCUUAGCUUUUGUUGAAGUGGUGCCUUUGUCACCACCGCUAACAAGCAGGACGCGUCCGUCGCGAUACCGGCCCAAUUGGCUCGUUAUUGCUGGACACUGGAGUGGCCAACCACUCUUGACGCACCUGACACCGACCGUGAGAAGUCGUGUGUGCCGAACGCCGUUUCCGGCAGCCCGGAAACCGA
Molecule: non-coding RNA, 286 nt
Filed under: Pseudomonas edaphica
Lineage: Bacteria; Pseudomonadati; Pseudomonadota; Gammaproteobacteria; Pseudomonadales; Pseudomonadaceae
Also listed under: 1 other name
Description: rne-II RNA
Rfam family: rne-II RNA
Source: RNAcentral